UACGGAGGAUGCGAGCGUUAUCCGGAUUUAUUGGGUUUAAAGGGUGCGUAGGCGGUCCGUUAAGUCAGCGGUAAAAUUGCGGGGCUCAACCCCGUCGAGCCGUUGAAACUGUCAGACUUGAGUUGGCGAGAAGUACGCGGAAUGCGCGGUGUAGCGGUGAAAUGCAUAGAUAUCGCGCAGAACUCCGAUUGCGAAGGCAGCGUACCGGUGCACAACUGACGCUGAGGCUCGAAAGCAUGGGUAGCGAACAGG
This 252-nucleotide ribosomal RNA is filed under the name uncultured Bacteroidales bacterium. RNAcentral's name for it is "partial 16S ribosomal RNA". It matches the Rfam family "Bacterial small subunit ribosomal RNA", at positions 524 to 776 of the family's 1533-position model. Lineage: Bacteria; Pseudomonadati; Bacteroidota; Bacteroidia; Bacteroidales. The record is from RNAcentral.